CCUACGGGUGGCAGCAGUAGGGAAUCUUCCACCAUGGACGAAAGUCUGAUGGAGCAACGCCGCGUGAGUGAAGAAGGGUUUCGGCUCGUAAAGCUCUUUUGGUAGUGAAGACAGAUAGAGGUAGUAACUCGCCUUUAUUUUACGGUAAUUACUUAGAAAGUCACGGCUAACUACUUGCCAGCCGCCGCGGUAAUACUUAGGUGGCAAGCGUUGUCCGGAUUUAUUGGGCGUAAAGCGAGUGCAGGCGGUUCAAUAAGUCUGAUGUGAAAGCCUUCGGCUCAACCGGAGAAUUGCAUCCGAAACUGUUGGACUUGAGUGCAGAAGAGGAGAGUGGAACUCGAGGUGUAGCGGUGGAAUGCGUAGAUAUAUGGAAGAACACCAGUGGCGAAGGCGGCUCUCUGGUCUGCAACUGACGCUGAGGCUCGAAAGCAUGGGUAGCGAACAGGAUUAGAUACCCGUGUAGUC
RNAcentral lists this ribosomal RNA (465 nucleotides) under uncultured bacterium. Its description in RNAcentral is "partial 16S ribosomal RNA". It matches the Rfam family "Bacterial small subunit ribosomal RNA", at positions 338 to 795 of the family's 1533-position model. The record is from RNAcentral.